GAAACUAACCAGGAUUCCCCCAGUAACGGCGAGUGAAGGGGGAUUAGCCCAGCAUCGAAGCCUAUGUCCGUUUGGGUAUAAGGCAAUGUGAUGUUGUGGGGUACGCCUGGGGUCACUGAUCAACUCGAAGUCCAAUAUUGAAUGUGGCUUUGGUAUAUGUCCCAUAGCGGGUGAUAGGCCCGUGCGAGUUGAUUGUCAGUUAUGAUAGUGGCCUUCUAGAUGCGUGCUCCGUGGAGUCGGAUUGCUUGAGAAUGCAGUCCAAAGUUGGUGGUAAACUCCAUCAAAGGCUAAAUACUGGCACGAGUCCGAUAGCAAACAAGUACCGUGAGGGAAAGUUGAAAAGUACUCUGAAGAGAGAGUAAAUAGUACGUGAAACCACAUACAGGUAAACGGGUGGAGUCCAGCUGCGUGUUCUGUGGACUUAGCUGGUGUGUGCAUUACAGAUGUUGUAAACUGCCAUGUGUAGCUUGUCUACAAUGACAAAUUAGGCUUAUGCCUAAUACACGUCCGCUUUGUAAGCGGUGUGAGCUAUACGUGCGCGUCUGUUUGCAUGCCAGUGUCAUUCCUCAGGACUGACAUCACAGUCAAUAUUGCUGCCAGUGUGUGACUAUCAAACCGUAGAGUGUUGGGCCUUGAAGCUCGCAUUCUGCGUGGAUGGCAGGUGGUUUAGCUGUUUACCUUUGGGUGAACAGUUGAACUUAAAAAUGGCUUCGGCCAGCCGAUGAUCAUGCUGUGUAUAUGGCUUCCAUUAAACUGUCCAGAGUAUUGGUAAUAAGUAUCUGGGCCUAAUGGCGUGAGCAUAGGCAGGGUCAUCGAGAAGUUAUGUGUACCAGCAUGCUUUUAGCGGGGUAGUGUGUGAGUUUGAGUGGUGCGGUUGCGUCUUCGCAUAAACUGUGGUGUUGUGGUA
RNAcentral lists this ribosomal RNA (907 nucleotides) under Neoheterocotyle rhinobatidis. RNAcentral's name for it is "eukaryotic LSU rRNA". It matches the Rfam family "Eukaryotic large subunit ribosomal RNA", at positions 61 to 638 of the family's 3401-position model. Lineage: Eukaryota; Metazoa; Platyhelminthes; Monogenea; Monocotylidea; Monocotylidae. The record is from RNAcentral.